UACAGAGGUCUCAAGCGUUGUUCGGAUUCAUUGGGCGUAAAGGGUGCGUAGGCGGAUCUUUAAGUCAGGGGUGAAAUCCUGGAGCUCAACUCCAGAACUGCCUUUGAUACUGGGGAUCUUGAGUUCGGGAGAGGUGAGUGGAACUGCGAGUGUAGAGGUGAAAUUCGUAGAUAUUCGGAAGAACACCAGUGGCGAAGGCGACUCACUGGCCCGAUACUGACGCUGAGGCGCGAAAGCGUGGGGAGCAAACAGG
RNAcentral lists this ribosomal RNA (253 nucleotides) under uncultured bacterium. Its description in RNAcentral is "partial 16S ribosomal RNA". It matches the Rfam family "Bacterial small subunit ribosomal RNA", at positions 524 to 776 of the family's 1533-position model. The record is from RNAcentral.